RNAcentral lists this non-coding RNA (84 nucleotides) under marine eukaryotic metagenome. Its description in RNAcentral is "Cyclic di-GMP-I riboswitch". It matches the Rfam family "c-di-GMP-I riboswitch aptamer". Rfam says of the family: GEMM was predicted in a large-scale screen for bacterial structured RNA regulatory elements. Genes associated with GEMM are involved in a diverse array of functions, including chemotaxis regulation, signal transduction, secretion and chitin. The record is from RNAcentral.
UUAAGGGCAAACUCGAACGAAAGUCGGGGACGCAAAGCUACCGGUCUAGAGAGUCGUAAUGACUUAUGAUAGCGGGGUUACCAC